CUUAAAACCCRRAGGACUUGACGGUGUCCCACCCACCUAAGAGGAGCCUGUUCUAUAAUCGAUGAUCCCCGCUACACCUAACCAUUCCUCGCCUUUCAGUCUGUAUACCUCCGUCAAAAGCCUACCAUGUGAACGCUUAUAGUAGGCCCAAUGAUUCCCAUCAACACUUCGGGUCAAGGUGCACCUCACGGAACGGAAAGCAAUGGGCUACAAUUUCUAAUUUAAAACAUACAAAAGACUGUGUGAAAUCCUAGUCAUGAAGGUGGAUUUAGUAUUAAAAGAAAAAUAAAUUUUCCCUUUAACCCCGGCCCUGG
RNAcentral lists this ribosomal RNA (314 nucleotides) under Pelophylax bedriagae (Levant water frog). RNAcentral describes it as "partial 12 ribosomal RNA". Lineage: Eukaryota; Metazoa; Chordata; Amphibia; Anura; Ranidae. The record is from RNAcentral.